This 600-nucleotide ribosomal RNA is filed under the name uncultured bacterium. Its description in RNAcentral is "bacterial SSU rRNA". It matches the Rfam family "Bacterial small subunit ribosomal RNA", at positions 86 to 682 of the family's 1533-position model. The record is from RNAcentral.
CAUGAUUCAGCGGCGGACGGGUGAGUAAUGCCUAGGAAUCUGCCUAUUAGUGGGGGACAACGUUUCGAAAGGAACGCUAAUACCGCAUACGUCCUACGGGAGAAAGCAGGGGACCUUCGGGCCUUGCGCUAAUAGAUGAGCCUAGGUCGGAUUAGCUAGUUGGUGAGGUAAUGGCUCACCAAGGCGACGAUCCGUAACUGGUCUGAGAGGAUGAUCAGUCACACUGGAACUGAGACACGGUCCAGACUCCUACGGGAGGCAGCAGUGGGGAAUAUUGGACAAUGGGCGAAAGCCUGAUCCAGCCAUGCCGCGUGUGUGAAGAAGGUCUUCGGAUUGUAAAGCACUUUAAGUUGGGAGGAAGGGCAUUAACCUAAUACGUUAGUGUUUUGACGUUACCGACAGAAUAAGCACCGGCUAACUUCGUGCCAGCAGCCGCGGUAAUACGAAGGGUGCAAGCGUUAAUCGGAAUUACUGGGCGUAAAGCGCGCGUAGGUGGUUUGUUAAGUUGGAUGUGAAAGCCCCGGGCUCAACCUGGGAACUGCAUCCAAAACUGGCAAGCUAGAGUAUGGCAGAGGGUGGUGGAAUUUCCUGUGUAGCGGU